UAACGCGAGAAUAUAUUUGAUUGCAUACUGUCUUUUUCAAUUUACUUGAAUGUUGUUGCCGCGUUUUACAAGCCUACCGGGAAACCCGUAAAAUAAAAUGGAUUGAGAAAAAACAUCCACAUCGAUAUAAACAGCCAUUCAGCGAGAAGCAGUUUCGAAAAAACAACCGUGGCAAAUCUUGUCCUUGCGGGGUUGAUUCCACCAAAGCACCGCGCCAGUGUUUCAUUAAUGACAACGCCAGCGCUGGAACAAGCAGGAGCGACCGCAUCCCAGGUAGACAACUCGGACAACAUCAUGGCCUAUCUGCUCAUUGACACGAACCACAUGCUAUCACAAAUGAUACGUGAAACUUUGGCCAGAAGUGAAAAUUUCGACCACCGGAACUUACUGGCAAUUAUCAUCGAUGUUCCGAUAACGGAUUAUUCCAUUGGAUCGAUCACUACCCUGAAGAGCGAGCGAUUGAAUCAGGUUGUCAAGUACCGGCGGUGCACGCGCGGAACGUUGACACGCACAAGGGCAUGCACCGGUGUCCCGAAGUAUCUGGAUUGUCCGAUCAUGCCUGAAAAGCAACAGGUACUGAACAACAACCAUGGCAGUUUGCAACACCUGAUAUCAGAACUGCACUGCACAUAGCGUCGGAGCGAAAAGAUGUACUCCAGCUCCAGAUUGAAAAAUCGACCAUCAUCUUGUUUACAUCAGUUUUGCCGGAAUAUUAAUGUUGCUUUGAUUGUAGAGCUCGAAGCGGAAGAGAAAUUAAAUGACCUAUUUACACUUUUAUCUGGUGCUGCGGUAAAAACGACAUCGGCGGAAGACAGCCAUGCUCCGGAUCAAGAAAAGCCGUACGCAUCCACUUUCAGCUCAGCCAGUCAAUCAGCUAUUGGCUUCGUAUCUCCUGGUGAUUCCCGCCUGUUUCCAGUGUUAAUCAACAGAAUAAACACCGCUGCAGAAAACGAUGGAUUGCCGAAAAUGUAGCAGUCCCAAACUCACGAAGGAACAAAAUUAUGUACUUCUAAAAUUUUCGUUUCCAUCAAUCUACGGCUUAAUCAAUUUGUUAAAUCAAAAGUGGUCAUACAGCAUUUUAAUAAAAUUUAA
Armigeres subalbatus is the source of this 1092-nucleotide long non-coding RNA. RefSeq lists it as uncharacterized. NCBI's taxonomy places the organism in Eukaryota, Metazoa, Arthropoda, Insecta, Diptera, Culicidae. The transcript is spliced from 3 exons. The record is from RefSeq and is a predicted model, not a curated record.